CAAGAAUUGAGCGCCGCUUCACAUACGAACUCGUUCGUACAUCAUUACUUCGUCACUCUGUCCGUCGACUCACAGCAAAAGGGUUAUGAUUUUAAAAUAGAUGAGGAGUUAUUGUCAUGGAAAAGUUAACCCUUUUUGUGAUAUCGCUCAUCUUCAUUCACACGGUACUUUUGAGGGACCAAUACAGUACAGUAGCUGUUUCAGGCUGUCAAACUAAAUGUUCUAUAUCAUUCUCCUUCACUUGGUGCAAGGACAUCACGGCAGUGGAACUUAUGAAUUGCAGCUCAUUGUUUUCCAGGCGCCUGUAAGACACUUUUGAUCACCUCCCAUUAGCUGCAGAAUAGCUGGUUUUCUUACAAACGUUCUUAAAGCGCCUUUUCUUGAUGGAAGACAAA
Molecule: non-coding RNA, 395 nt
Organism: Pocillopora verrucosa
Lineage: Eukaryota; Metazoa; Cnidaria; Anthozoa; Scleractinia; Pocilloporidae
Source: RefSeq, a predicted model, not a curated record